GUGAACUACCGCUGAGCUAAAGACGCAGCGGCUUCUUCGGAAGUCACUGAAGAUUUGGUUCAGUAGCUUCUUCGGAAGUCUGAGUUCACCAGACUCAGCCCCAGAAAUGGGCGCUACGUUUGAUAGGUCAUGACACCUGCGGUUGACGCAUCAGACCGCUGCUCUGUCGCUGAGAGUUAAGUGUCGCUGAGAGUUAAGUAGGCUUGAGGAAAGGGCCGGUGCUCUCGGUGUAAAAAGCCUUUUGAACAUUGUCGAGAUGAAGCCGGA
Ktedonobacter racemifer DSM 44963 is the source of this 267-nucleotide non-coding RNA. It matches the Rfam family "HNH endonuclease-associated RNA and ORF (HEARO) RNA". The record is from Rfam. NCBI's taxonomy places the organism in Bacteria, Bacillati, Chloroflexota, Ktedonobacteria, Ktedonobacterales, Ktedonobacteraceae.